Monomorium pharaonis (pharaoh ant) is the source of this 22636-nucleotide long non-coding RNA. RefSeq lists it as uncharacterized. The record is from RefSeq and is a predicted model, not a curated record. Lineage: Eukaryota; Metazoa; Arthropoda; Insecta; Hymenoptera; Formicidae. The transcript is spliced from 2 exons.
CAUAUUUAUUUUACACCUUUUAAUUUUUCGAGUAUCAACUUAACUUGUCACAAUUUAAUUAAAAGUACUUUCCUAAGUUAUACUAUAUUUCUAUAGGUUACAAUUAAUCGAAUAUAAAUUCGUCUAAUAUGAAUUGCAGAUCCGCAGUUGCGAGUAUUUGUAACUUCGCCCUCCACAGCGAUAUGCAAUUUCCAAUGAAGACUCCGAACGGUCCGGGCUGUGCAGCCGGACAUCUGAAUUUAUUUCGUGUACAGCCAACCGGAUUUUAUAGUUAAUCCGCCUAUUUUUUUCCCCCCCGGAAUUCCAGGCAAACGGCGGGCCGCAAUCGUGCGCGGGCGUAACGGGUGUUUGGCUAUCACGCAUGCGGCAUUAUUGCGAUUUAAUGGUACCGUCGGCAAGCACGGUCGUUUAUUAUGCCGCACUACGUGUUGCUGCUUGCUGUGCCGUCGCCUAUCUCGUCGGUCGCGCCUGUAAAAGCAACGGGUUAUGGAGUAAUAACUCGACGCUAUAUGACGCCGCGCCGUCGUGCCUGCGACGUACCCCCGGUAAGCCAAACAACGCAGGCCGUCGCGACGCCUACGUUCGCACAAGCGUCGUAGUCGUCGUCACGGAAUGGGGGGGCUGCUCUUCGUCUCUCGCCGGCCUCUUCCCCGGCGCAUAAACGCCAGUCUAUCUGAUGUCCCUCGCGCGCCAUUUAACAUUUAAUGGACGGCACGCUGUCCGAAAAGUGCCGUUUAUCAUCCCGGCAGGCUGCAACGCCCGGAAGACAACGGCGCGGUAACUACUGAUCGGCGAUAUAACGGCGGCGAUUUUUCGCCCGCGAGAGAAAAAAAAAAAUAUAUAUAUACAUAUACGGCACGAUGACUUUUAGGGGCUUACAUUGUUGAAGGAUUCGAAAUUCACCUCGACAAGAAUGACAGUCUGAAUUUUUGUAACGAUCCGAGAGACCCCAUUCCGUUUAUGGAAACAUCGCUCAGCCGUGAAGUAUUCCGGAAUCAAAUGAAUAACAAGCUCCAAUUUGGAAGUUUAAUUUUACGCCGGGACCAGCGUUCCAGUUAAUACCAAUCAAUUUUUCCCCAUUACGGCAUUGUAAUUAUGUUAUCAGGAAUGCGCUAUUCCUAAUCAUCUAAGAUCACGAAAUCUCAGCUUGUCCCCCCCAAAAAACGGAAAUAGAUAGGUACUCCGGUGCAAAUUGUGUUUCGUCGGGAAGGGCUUAAUUAACUUUGCGAUGCUCAGCGAGUCGACAAAGCGUGAACGCGCGUGCACGCGGUACCAUAUACACCGCGAGUACAACAGUCGCCCGAUGGGCCACUCGAUGAGGGCGGGAUGACGGGUGGGCUGUAAUGCAGACCGCCGCUAUAUUUCGACGCUCCUCGUCCUUUCGCUCUCUCCGCACGAGCACCCUCGUUAAGCGUCUACGUGUUCGCGAUUCUCAAUCGGUUCCUGGUCCCCGGCAUACCGACAUUAUUUUUAGACGGUUGAUCGGUCACGGUUUCAUCCAUGGACUCCCCCUUUAAUCUUCUGAGGUUUUAUAUCCUCACGAGUUUUAAAGGGGCGCAAAGAGAAGAGAAAAAGCCGACGUCACACGACGUCACGUAAGAUUCAUUAUCUACAGUCACAAUCGUCCCGCUCCCCUGAUUUAUGUGCAAUCACAGAGGGACCUGUGUGGACCACCACCCUUGAUACAGAUUUUUUGACGUUCUUUCUCUCGGCGAAGAAUCAUUGCGUAAUGAAAAGAGAAAACGAUGGAUAUCGGAAAAUUCACGGCUCACCUCGUGCUCACCGCGCGCGUACACACACACACACACACACACACACACACAUUUGCAGACGCGCACACGUACACACGUACACAGGAUCACGUGUGCACAUCUAGCCGCGCUAUCGCAGUCUCCGUAGAUGUACGUGCCCACGACUGCCAAGAGUCACAAGAAGAGACCAACGAAAAGCGAGCGGCCGGGGCUAGGCAGCUAUGUACGUCACGUCUGGGUUCUGGAUUACAUUUAUAUCCCCAUGCCUCCCCCGUGCCCGGCUCCGAGCCCAGGGGGCCGAUGCGCCAAUACGUGCCUAUAAUCUUCCGCCUCAUACUCUUUCACUCACUCGCUCGAUCGGCGAAAGCCGCUCUCUUCAUCCACCCACCACGGACGUCCCUCACACACAGGUCGGGUCUGCCCGUCCGCCGUCUCACCUAAAUCGUCCAUGUGCAGGCCGUACACACACACGUGCGAAUCUUUACGCGUCCGUGUGCACGCGUUGCAUAAAAGACUACGGGAGGAGGAUAUAUAUGUAUAUACGUGUAUAUGUGAGCGAGUAGUCUCGGGCAAUUGCUGGCGAAUAGUAACUCACGCUUCGCGAUGGUGACUGCGUUGCCGGUAGUAGAUCUCCCAGCUAUUACACCUGCGGGACACUUUAUUUCUGAACGAUGUCUCUCUCGGCCAUGACUCGGAAAUUCUUAUCCGGCGAUUUCGCGGUACUUCGGUUCGGCGGCGACGGUUACGUCAGGUAACACGGGAAAUCGAAAAAGGAAACACGCCGAUAGACGCCGAUAUUGGCGGAGGCUCAACGAGGCUCAAGGUCGUUAAAUUGUUACGACGGGUGUUACGGGGGUUUGACGGAGAAAUCUGGCGUUUAUUCAGGGUCGUAUUGUUACGAUGGACCGAAUGCAAGGAGCUCGUUUGAAAAUAUACUGCUGUUCUUGUUGAGAAAUCAGGAAUACAUUUUAUAUUUAUCGCGGAAAGAAAAGUGAAGGAACUUGCAUUGAUCUUUUGCCAGGAACAUUUCUUGAAUUUUAAUUUUAAAACUCCGAGGUUAUAGCGAUAAUUAUGAUUGGUAAUAUAGCCAUUACAUAAUAUAAUAAAUUUACGCGAAAUUUACCGAUGUACAUUGAUUUGAUGGUUUUGCGUUCCGGGUGUCUCCAGCAGUAUUCGCUUUAAAUCGAACGGAAACGACUUGUUCUCCGUUACAAAAAAAUAUCAGGCGUUUUUAAGGUACAACUUUUUAUGAAGUGCUUUUUAUGAAGUGCAUAAAAGAGAUCGAAGGGCAUAAUGCGCGCUUCGGAUGGCGCCCGAACGUGAAAAUAUUCAGUAUCGAUAAGCCUCAGGGAGAAAAAGUGUUCUCCAGCUUCCUUUCCUGGAAGUCCAACUCGUAUUCGUCGCUUGCGUCCUCUCGCGCACUUUUUCACCCCCCCCCCCUCUUUAUCCCGUACAGGGGUGAUUUACGAGGGAGGCUUAACACAAACUGGUUUGUUUUUAUCAAUAGUUAAUUCGCAAUUUACAUCCGUUUAAAUAUUCAUACCGUCGUCGCCGCGAAAACCCGGAGCUUUCCCUCGCAUACUUAUUCGCGAAUCCUCGGCUCCCCCUUUCUCUCUAUCUCUCUCACGCUCUUUAAUCUCCGUUAUAUCCGUAUUCUUCUCUUUCGCCCCCCUCCCCCUCUCUUUCUAUCCCUCACUUUUUCUCACCUUCAAUGUUUCUACAGGGAGCGACAAAACUCAGCGGAAUAUACGUUCGAAUGCUUCUGCAAACCGAAACCUCCCACGCACUAAAUUCCAAAGCCGCUUUCUAGUUUCGUGACCUGUCCUUUUUCUCGCACACGAUGAUUUUGGAAACGAGCUUCCUGCUGUUCUCAAACUUUGUAUCAUUGAAACAUUGUGAUUGCGAUUACGCCGGUGUAUUGUGUACAUGGCGUUUAAAAAGAAAACAAAAGAUAUAUAUGUAGCGACGGCUACGAGUGAUAUUAUAAUGUAGAUCUAAUUAAUUAAGCUCGACGUUAGCGCGGUAAUUUAGAUUAAAUUUGCUUACCAUAUAUGCUAAACCUGGAUAGUACCUGGGUAAUUAUGCGAAUGUAUUUCAUAACGAGAACUGUAUGACAGAAAUAUUGCGUAAACAUUUUUAAUUUACAAUGAAUGAUAUAUGUAAAAUUAAUUAGAGUAACAGAAUUAAUUAGAAUAAAGGCCGUGAUGCUUUUAUCUCGAGUAAAAAUGAGGUCUAAACAUAUUUAACACAAAGGUUAUUUUAGGUCAUAAAUAUAAUUAUUAAAAUAUGAAGAAUAUGCGAACGUAACGUAUACUUACACGAGAGGCUUCAAUUCAUAGAUAAAUUUAAAAAGUGUACUUUAAGCCUUUCAGUCUGGCUGCUUAGAUUUGAUUUACAGUUGAUAGCGUUUUAAUGAAAUACAUAACACGUAAUAGAUGUCUGCAGGCACACGUACACGUUUUACAGCGUCCACGAGUACGGGGAUCAAACUUUGUAGAUGAACAUCGUAUAUAUCGUGCUGAAUAAUAAUUCGAGGAAAUAUCACAAAUCCGCAUCUCCUGACGGGGGGUUGAAAACAAUUCUCGUUCAACACAUUUGAUAAUUCACUUAUAUUAUUUAAUGAAAUGUUGACGUAAACGUCCGCGCGACUGGUCCGCGUCUAGCCCGACCGAAACUUUUCUCUCAACUUGAUAUUGCCGGCGCGUCCGAAAUAACGCGCAGUGUGUAACCAAAGUUAGCGAAACUAGCGUUGCUAGAGCUCUCUUUCUCUGUCUCUCUUUGGAAAUCGACAGACUCGAUGUCAAAUUUGCAAAAGUACCAUCCACGUCUCGGCUGAAACUUUGUUUUUAUUCCUUUCUCAGGACGGAAUAUAUGCGGCAUAUACCGGCGGGGCCGAGCUCUCUCGGUUUGCAUUCGCGGAACCAUCCUUUUUCUGAAACUUGUCAGUACGCACGCAUAUUUGCGUGUUUUAUUCAUGAAAUACGUGACUGUCUAUCGUAUCGGCGUGAUAAGAUCCGGAAAUUGCAUGUACGAUGUUCCGCCGCGUAAUCUUGUCGCCUUCGGAACGAGGCUCCCUGCAACGAAACGACGCAAACGCGCGACGUGUAGAAUUUAUCCGGCCUUGAUAUGACUGCUUCGCCACGACGACGGAAAGUUAGCUAUUUUCCGCCAGGUACUGAGAUCGAAGCUAUAUGAGAUAUCCCGGGUAUUUUCUCUCUCUCCCCUCGCGCUCUCCUCAAAUCUUUCCCAAAUAUAAAAUGGAAACAUCAAUAACUCAUGAAAGCGGUAAAAUUUUGAUAAUUUAAAAAUUAAUCGUUGAGUAAAUGUAACAUUAGUAUAAAUAAAAACAGCAAUUUUUAUUAUAUAUUUUUAUUAUGUUAUAAUACUAUUUAGAUAUUGAAAGAAAUUUAGUAUCGUAUAAAAUCGAUGCUCUGUAACAAAAAUGUUUAAACUCAUUUCUCGUUAUCUUACGUUUGGUUUAUAAAGAUAUCACAAAUGAUAUUAGAAAAAAAUAUAGUCUUAUUAGAAAAAACAUUACAUAAAUUGCAAAGAACAACUGUAAAACGUUACAGUUCAUUUGUAUUUAAUUUCAAUUUGUGACAGAAUCCCCAGAUUAUUUUGCUUGAGUAGCUUUGUGAUAAACCGUAAGAACGGUCGUAACAAGGAGUCUCGAUUAUUAUCGUUAUCACAAGAAAAUGCUCGAUAGUGCAGCACGUGCACUGUAAAUACCGGCUGGUACCAUUAUACGAUCGCUGCAGGUGCAAGUUAUUAUAAUUGCACGUCGAUUCAGUUAAAGCUUAUGAAGUUUGUGCUUUGUCAUCAAUGGUGACUUGGGGACUUCCUAUGAGAUAAUCGAGUUCAAUAAUUGAUUAGUUUACAAGAAUCAUCAAACACUCUCAACUGUAAGAGAUUUGAUUGUAAGAAAUCUUGUAUAUUUGAUUUCUUACUGCAGCCAAUUGUAGAUACCCACUUAUUUAUAUAUUUUUUCACAAAAUAUCCGUUUAUAAUCAAAUUGUAAUAAACUUAUCACAACAAUUAUGUAUUAAUUUUCGUGAAAGAGGAUUUAAGUAAUCAGUUUAUUAAAAAGCUUUUAUUGUGAUAAUUUUCUUCUUACGCGUCUUAACGUAACUUCAAAAUUUCUGUAAUCACAAUCAGCUUUUUCAUACAAUGCUGUGGUACAUAAUAAUUGGCAUCAAUCAACAACGCAUACUUGGACAACAUAUAUGUUUAUAUAUACGUGUAUACGUCGACGCGUGUCCGCGUGAACAAUGUCACGCUCUCGUGUCCUCGCCGCUAAUGACUCAUUAUCACGAGCAAUCGCCCCCUUAUACAACAGCGUCGCCGCCGCUCUCGUCUCCUAUCACGUUAAAGCGCCCUUGUCGAGCCUAUCUUUCGCCCUGCCUGCGCGUCCGCGUCCGCUGCAUACAUAUUCAAUCCGUCAUGCGAUCAAUUGUUAAUCAAUUAAUUAACAGCGCGAGCGGCGCUUUAAUGACAAUGCGCGAUACUGCCACGCCUCACGAGACUCAUUUAAGCACUCUGUUCAUUAUCCGCGCAACGUAAACGCGCGUAAUUCCCCGGUAACAAUGUUACAAUGGCAGAUAUUCGCGAUUUCUGCGAAUUUAGAUAUUAAUCCGGAAUAUCAGAAAAAUCGGGCUGAUUAACGAACUACGCGCUGAAAAUAAUUUACAAUCCGCAUGAAGAUUUUAUAACGAUUUGUGACGUGAUUAUCGUUACGCUUGAGAAUACCUUUCAUGUUUGGAAAUAUAUAACGGUCCUUGUCUUAUUUUGUGAACAAGCAUUGUUGUUCUUUCUUUUUCUUGUGAAUUUACUGUGUAAACUUGUAAACGGUCCACUGAUCGAUUUUCUCACAUCGGCGAAUAUUUUAACAUUAAUUUGCAUAUAAUAAUUUACAUCUCCCUCUCUCUCUCUCUUCCGUAUUUGCUUCCGUAUUCUUUGGCAUUCUGUAUAGUAUCGAAUUUAAGAAGAACCAUCACUCUCUCUAUCUCCCUUUAUUUCCAAAGGUCAAUCGAAUAAUCAACGGAAGGCAAGAAGCGUCCCAGGUCGUCUUCCCUGGCAAAACGCUUUUUCCCCUAAAAUACAGGAACCGGCGGCCAUGUACUCCGUGUACACGUAUAUACGGCGGCCGUGUAUCCCGGAAGGUUAAGCCGCGGAUAGAAACUCCGCGAUGGUCGUUUUUCCUCGCGACCUCGGAAAAACGCUCCCAGGGAAAAUAAGGCCGCGCGCGCGACGCCUAGGCGCCCGGAAACGGAUUAAAACGGGAGCCCCCGCUGUAAAACGCGUGCCUGUAAAACAUACCCCGGCCCCUCCCCGCUUCCUCGCCUUCUCGCUCCGUCAGCUCCCGCGUCCGCGUGUUGAUAUAUCUCGAGUUUGUAGCUUGCAACCGUACCGCUGCUAAAAAUCCCGUAUUCCUAGCUGUGUGUCGCGAGAGAACUAGCGGGGAGGUAAGAGGACGACCGGCUGCUGCUGCUGCUGCUACAGGGUCAGACGAAACACGACGGAGUGCGGAAGAGGUCAUCGCGCGCGCACCAUCUGCACCCUUCCCACGGUUUUAGCCCGUAGCGCCAGCUAGACCGACAAUAAGCUGAUAAUUGAGCUUUUGAAUAAUUCCAGCUAUUUAAUCCGGGGUUUAAUAAAGCUUCGCCCUUCUCCCCCUCCUCCUCACCUCCCUCCCCUCCCUCCGCCCGCCGCGCCUUCCCGCGAGCGGCGUUUCGCCGUUUCGAAGCACCCGUGAAUUUCAUUAGGGGCUCAUCAGCGAGGGCUUGCGACAUUAAUGCGAGCAAUUUCCGCGUCGCGGUCCUUUUUUUCGCUCACCGAAAAAGGCCGCGCGUAGGCAAGCGAUUCGAGGAGAGCCGAGUAAGGAAAAUGCUUUCCGCUUUAGCUGAAAAGAGUCGGGCGCGCCCCACGAAGCACACACGAAGUUUUGUUAGGGAAAUUUCGCGAGAGCGCAUUUUUGUACACGGUAAACAUUAAUGGGAGCUUACUGGUGCGUGUGAACACGAAAAAGUGUUUUGAAAUAAAUUAUAACAUUUGACGCUCUACCCUCCCUCCCCCUCUGUCGAUAUUAGUUACGAUCAAAUUUCGUACACGUUACGUUCGCCAAACGCCGCGUGAAACUUGCUGUUCUAUCACUUUUUCUCUGGCAUUCCGCAUGUCGCGUUUAACGUUUAUUAUAUCCGGGUCAUCGACUGGCCCGAUACCGCCGAUGGCGAUCCAUGCCGAGGACGGGUGUUUAGUAUCGCGGGGUUCUUUCAUCGGUAGAUUAGUUAAUUUCGGUACCGCUCUGCCGUGGUCCCCGGAUCCCCGAUGUAAUUAGCUGUACAAUAGGAAACAGCAGUUUCCUGUGCUCUCUAUCGCAUCGACGAUGUAACGUCUAAACCAAUCUCCGGCAGCAGACAAUUAUUACACCCGCAUUUCGUACGUAAUCCUGCCCCUCCACCUCCUCUCGCCUCCCCGGAGGGUGUGUUGCGGACAAAAGUAUUCCCCGGGGUUGAUGAGAACUGCAUUAGGCGAGUGCCAACCGCACGUACCUUCACAAACGGGUUCAGUUUCAAUGGUCAAACGCAUUCAUUUAACGAGUAUUCAUCGCACGAUGUUUCUUUUCGUUUGACACUUUUGCUCUGACACUUACGAAAUAAUUUUAUAGAUUACAGAUAUACACUAUUAAAUAUUUAUUAUGAGCUUACCCAUACAAAUUGAAUAUGCACAUAAUGAUCUUAAAUAAUAAAAGCUAUUUAUAAAAGUACAUUUUUAUAAGUAUACGUAUUUAAAAGUUCCAAGAAUAGUAGAUAGAUAGCAAAAAUGUAACAGAGGACUUUCUCCUGAACAUAUAAUUUUACAAAAUUAAUUUUUUGGCAUUAAAUAAAUAAGUGAUAUCUCAAAGAGUAUGUAUAACUUUCUCUCGUGUUCUUCUUUUAAUAAAAUAAUAAAAUAAAAAUAGCACUAUUUUAUUUUAUUAAGAAUUUAAAUCUUUUGCAAAGUAAUUUUUAAAUAUGUACAAACAUAUAAUACAAUAAUUUUAUCGGAUUAAAAUGGUACAAAUUACGAUGCAAGUAUUGGAAUAAAUCAUUAAUUAUUUAGAUUGUCGGAUACUGUUAUUAUCUCAAUAAUGAGUGACGAUAUCAUCUUACAUUUGCUAAUUAGACACUGCUAAUGUAAUCAACAAAAAUAUUUAAUUAAUCAGUUAAUCUGUAUAUUAUUGGAAUAUAAUCGCAGGUGAUUCUAAUAACAGGUAAUUUAAUAUUACCACAAAUCAGUAAUUAUCUAAACCGGGAACCCCGAUCGAAAUUAUGAAUAGGUAAAUAUUAUGAAUAGGCUAUUUGCAAAACACAUGGUUUAUUGCAGAAUUCUAUUAUUAUUAUUAACAUACAAGAAAGCAUUACUAUUUCAUUAUUCCACGGAAGAAUAAUUCAUAAAAAAUUAUAUUGAAAGGAAGAUUUUUCAAUCAUUUUAAUCGAUUUAAGAACAAACCUUAAUUAAAGUUUGACAUUAAAACAUGUUUUACAAAUCGAAAAUCAGAGUAAAAUUAGAAAAUAAGCGAACUAGUUAAGAGGAAGUAAACGCAUCUGGUUUUACAACAAAUUAUACAUAUCUUACCAGGGUAAUUCAACAGUAAUUCUAAUAACGUCGUUUACUUUCCAAUAUCAAUGUAUAUCACGAGAUUGAUCUCUCUAAGCCAAGACUGUCUUAAGCGAUGAACUCCAGCACACGCUUGCCAAACAUCCUGAAUCGGUAAUAGAAACCACUUCCUCGAGCAGCCGCGGUCAGUUUAUGUAGAGACUUCAUGCUUCCGUGGACAGAGCACAUACGCAUACAUUUUGACGCGUAUACAUACACGCUGGCACGCACAUGUAGGGCAUGCGCGCCCCAAUCUAACGUGAUCGCAUGCGGGGGGGUAGCACAAUCGGUUAACACAACGCCACCGUCCAAUACCGACAUAUAUAGGCAUCAAAGGGAAUUCCCACCUUGUGACACAUAGGGUCCUCCGCAGACUCCUUGACUAUUGGCAUAGUUAAAAUGUCAUCGUGGAUGCGGUUACCGGAGCGUCGCCGCAUGAGGGCUGCUUUUGAUCAUUCCGCUUAUUGUCGAUUUGUCGAAUUGGCACAGAUACACGGCGAUGCCGAAGUGAUCCCGCGGAUUAUUCAUCAGCAGACCGCGUUGCCUGUGAUAGGCUAAUGUUCAAGAUGAAAUUGACCCGACACACGCACGUUUCACUGAUGAUCGCAAUCUGAGAUCUUUUUCAUCCCUAAUCUACUGUGUAUACAAUGGAUGUAAUUGAUGCGUUGACAUUGACAAUUGAUGCUACGAUCGUUUUACAAUUUGGAUCAAGCAGAAUAACUGAGAUGAAGUCAAUGGAACGCCUCAACGAUUGCGCGACACGGUUACAUUUUUUUAAUGUUAAAACAACAACAAAUGCGCUAAAAGCAAAAAUAUCUCAGGCAUGUCUUUAGGGACAAAGAAAGGGAGGGAAGAGCUGGAGGGUCCUAUUCCCUCCUCCGCUGUCAGUCGUCGUCUUGGUAAGAGAUAUAAGAUUCAUGAGAUGCUCCGUGGCAAGAAUACAAUUUUUAUGAACUAAGAGAGCAAGAGAGCAAGAACUUGCAUUUAUAUCAACGUUCUCUUUUGUUUUCCUUUUUUUUGCCUCCGUAUCCGUCAAUCACGAAUAAUUGAUGAUAAAAAAGAAUGAAGCGGAGUACAGCAUAUUCGGAGUACAAUGCACGGAUGACGGUCUGUUAUAUAUAGAUAAAUCAUUUUUUAUUUAGUUAAAAUUCGGCUACGUCACAUUUGACACACAUAUGAAAAUAAUAUGUCAUAUAAAGUGUAAAAGAAAAAAAUGGAAAAUAUGAAGCAAGAACAAAAGGACAAAAGUAAAGAAUAAAUGUGCAAGAACAAAAAACAUUGUAGAUAAAAGAAGAUAUACUUCUUUAAGACAUCAUUCAUGAUUAAAGUAUUUAAAUGUUAAAAUAGAUAUUCUCUCUCUUCUUUUCUUUUUUAGCACAAAAAUUCUUUAAAAUCUUAUAUUUUAUGGAGUACGAUAAUUUAUUAGUCCUUUUAAUUUUAUAUUGAUAAUCUGUUACAAUUUCACACUUUUCUCUCUAUAAUUGAAGGGUUUAUUAAACAAUCAAUUAAACGCCAUUAUUUAUGAUUUAUUGCUUUUUGCUUUUAAUGACUUAUCCGUCAAAUCGACGUUUUAUAUCGCUGUUUUGCAUUAUUAUGAAUGAAUAAUCCAAAAGAAUCGUCUGUUUAAAUUAACUGUCAAAUAAAGCAACGAGUGAGGAAUUUAAGUAUCUGUAUAAAUACGGCGUCGCACGUAUAUAAUGUCAACGCCGUAUUUUAUUUUAUAAAUUCCUCUUCCUUUCUUCAGGCUGAGAUCAGAGGCUGAAACGUUACAUCCCUCCCGUACCAUUGUUGCAUCUGCGUCGUAAUAAAACGGCGGGGAUAGGAAGGCGUACGACACGGCGGUUGUCGCUUAUUCGAUAAUGCCACUGCAUCGUAUCAUCCUUUUAAUGUAGUGCUCGCGAUGGUAAAGUUUAUCCAACGGCAACGUGGAAAAUUACUAACUUCUUGCUUGCUCUGGUAAUUCUCGUCUCGCACUCCCUGUUUCGUUUCCUCGCGACGCUUCCCUUUCUCUUCCUUUUAUCAUGGUGCCGUAUCCUCGCCGCCGAAUGCGAGCGACUUAGAAGAUCCCGCGUAACUUUGCGACGGUCGUGGAACAUUAAGCUCGCCCUACGCCAUGCGCACACAUGCGCGCGUUAGUGCGAGAGCGCAUUUAGUUUAUUGGCAUGCAUUUUAAUGUGUACCCCAGCGUACACGCGCGUUUCACGCUCAGUGCCAAUGUCUGUAUAUGUAUUUUAACAUCUCCCUCUUUUCCGUUUCAUCCUCCUCUUCCCCCGCCUCUUCCUCCUCUCCCUCUCUUUCUGUCGGCUGAUCGACGCCGAUACAUCCUUUAUGACUACCGGGCCAUGAUUAUUUCAGCCGUUUAAUUGAUAUAAACACCGAGCCGAUAAUUAUUAAUUUCAUGAAAUAUUACCACUAUGUGUCCGCUUUAAAUGUUCAGCCAUCCGCGAAUAGAUAAUCGUUACAGCACAGGGCGCUGCAAUUACGUUACAAAGACAGCUCCGAAUUGCUAUGAUGCCGAUUACAAGAAAACUGACCGUUCAUUGACGAAUAAAUUGAGACUGUUUGUGUGAAAAAGUCAGCCAAACGGUGUAUUUUUAUUUGACCUCUGUUGUCAGCGUAACACUUUGUAGCUACAAAUGCAAUUAUGAUAUCACAUUAUAAAUUCGUUAUUUUUCUUUUAUAUAUGUAAACAUGUGUGUUACACACGUGCAAGGAAAAAAAAUUCCGUUUUUGUUUGUCGAAUCAAGUGUUGUACACGUGGACAAAAAUAUAGCCUUUUGAUUAAAAACAAGUAAGAAGUAAAUUAUAUAAAAAGACGUUAUAUAAACAUUCCCUUGUUGUCGGCAUAUAAUUGAUAUUUUAUAUUACAUUUUACUUUAACUUGUCGAUCGAAUUUCAAUUUGAUUAGAUAUUCCGGUAUCUCGGCAGGGAUAUAUUCGCGCGGUCGUUUGAUAUUCAAUGCCAUCGAGUCUAAACGCGUAUCGACGCUUAACGACAUAAUUCACGCGGUCCCUCGACGUCCCGAAAUGUAGCCCGAUUUAUUCCGAUCGCGCGGUUUAUCAUGCGAUGUAUUGCAUUCGGUCCACCAUGUCUCUGACGCUCAUGUUAUUGCUAACGCGCCAUUUGAGAUGAGACCAUUUCGCGAGAACGUGCCAUUUACAGCCACCGAUGUGGCUGUGUGUCACACGACGCCGGCGAAAUAGAUAUAAAUAGUGGCGGCAACGCCGACGACGACGGUGGUGCUCGGGGGAGGACGCGGCGCUGUCUCUCAAAAACGUCUCGAACAGUGUGCGUGACGGCGUGACGAUGGGACAGGACGAAGAAGACGACGCCGUCGUCCAGGACGCGCCGACACGCAUUUUGCAUUUCUCCCUUAUGAAUAUGUUAUCAGGACGUCUCCUGAUGGGUUUCGCUCCGCGCCGGUCACGCGCGGACAAAUUUACUGUCAAUAUUUGCUCGCCCCCCGCCGUCCGAGUGGGGCUACCGGGGUUGAAAUCUCGCGUCGCGCGAAACGCACGUAUAUCCCGACGCGAUCACCGCGAUGAGCCUCGCGGGAUGCGUCGCACACACGCCCUGGCCACGUCAUCAGACAACUCGCAUGCGUGUCUCCCGCUCGCGAUUUUUGUUACUCCGCGACUCUGGGAGGGAGACGGGGCUAAUGUCCGAAAUAUUUCGCGCGGAAAAAGAAUUAGUCUUACUUAAGUCUGCGAUCGUUGUCUCGUAUACAAGUAAGAAUGUAAAACAUUCUUUAAAGAAUUUGAUAAUUUUGAACAUAACUUGCUCAGAUGAAAAAAAUUUGUAUAGUUUUAUUGAGAAGAAUAUAUUCACAUCUUUACUCAGAAAUAAUUUUCAUGAGUAGAGAAGAGGAAAUAUCGGAUAGGAAACAACAAUUUUUUCAAAUCAGAAGUUAGAAUUUUUUAAUAACUAUUGUUAUUAAAAUAACAAUAUUAUGUUGCUUAGAUGACUAUUAUGAUAUUGAAAUAAAAAUAUAGUUUUUUUAUUUUAAAAAAUGAUCAAAACUUUUAAAGAAGAUGUACUCUUGCUUAUACACGAGACAAUGAUUAUUGAACUUCUAAUUUUGUUUUACAUGUGCUUGAUGCAUUUAACCAUUAAAAAUAAAGCAUCGCAAGUACGUAUCCGCGCAUUUGCGAUACUUUCGACGCAAGAGAAUAUUAAACUGCGCGUGGGGCGUAUUAAAUUUUAACGCAUUCUCAGCAUCGCGGGGUUGAGAUUUCGUGUAUUGUGUAUAUUUCACAGCUUAGCAAAUGCUCCCCGUCUAUGAUGCCUCGGUACACUCAGAAAGCUCCACGAAAUCCGUACUCUUACCGUACACCCGGACACACAUUAUAUAUAUAUAUAUAUUUAUAUAAAAUAUGUAUAUAUGAGUGUGUAAAGCAGUUACAAGUCAAAUAUAUUUAUACAUCUCUCGCACGCGCGUAAAGUAGCGCGAGUCGCGGUUAAAGCGACGUGUUUGGCGGUAGAAAUACCGUAGAACUGCACUUGACACCUGUGCCCCGAAUUCGAGAUUUUCCUCGCCCCUCCCACGGCAGGCGGCCACCCUUCUCUCCCGGUCCCACUUCGCCAUCUCCGCUCCCGCUGCGCGACCCUCUUGUCAACCCCACGCAGCCGGGCGGAACGCCCGACAUUCGCCCCAUUCGCCACUUUGAUUCCUGCAACUGGCCCUCUGCAAAAUUACCUACCUACAGCGGACUCGCGUUGAGGUUUUGCGGUACGGCCGGCCGCGUGGUAUAUAUCAACGUUACUGCUAGAACGGUUUGCAGUGUGUUCGCGUGCGCGCGCGCGCGCGCGCGUGCGGCCGACUCGGCCCAAUUUUACAUGCAAUUUCGCGGCGGCGGGUUCCGCCGGGAGGACGCCGAGGUUUUUAAUUAUAUCUACCCGGUCGAGCCGCUCGGCGGGAUAUUAACCGGAAAUCACUCCGGCCACUGCAGCGACGGCCCGCUGCUAUCGACAUUGUGUAUACCGGCGUGUCUCCGAUCUCCGGCAGGCUGCAGGGAAUGGGCGCAGGGACAAGGGUUUGCGGGACAAAAAUGGAACUAUCCGGGCAAUCAUUACGAAUUGUUACGAAUUGUCGCGUCCGAUUCCACGGAUAAUCCAGACGAUCGGGAUAUUUUGAUGCGAGAGCGUUAAUCGUUAUUGGAGUUUUAAACUUUUAUACUCGCGAAACACGAGAGUCGUGCGUUUUUGAAAAAAAAAAGGGGCGAUAGAAAGAUUAUCACGAGGGAAGGGGAAGGGAAGCGUAAAGUACACACUCUCUUCAUUCUUUCCGUAUCGGUGAAUCAACACUGUUUGUCCAUUUAGUUAAUAUUUUUUGUUAUUAUUUUAGGAACAUGUAUCUCUUCUCUCACAUUUGUUGUAUUGAUUCCAUCAAUUUUGUUUUUAUUUAUUUAUUUAUUUUUCGUUGCUGCUUAUACACGUUGAUAAAGUAUAAAAUGAAUAAUACUGUAUUAAUAAUUGUUUAUAUUUAACAGGAAGCCGUGUUUGCACGUUGCGUAGUGUCCGGGUGUACUUUAUUUCGCGUGUACUCGCGCGCGAGUGACCGUUUUGCAAGAGUUACGUUUCUCUCAGUGUUACGAUUUAUCAUUGCGCGUCCGCCUGCUGCACACACUCCCGCGAAUGUCAUUAAGCGCGAAUGAUAUCGAGACCUCAGCGUGGCUAUCGUUGCCGAACGCGGGACGUUUCCAUUAGUUCUUCCAUUAAGUUUCGCAUCGCGAAAUGAAUGCGGGCGCGCGCUCUCAUCCCGAAAUCAUAUUUCUGCCAUUAACAUGGCCCAUUUUAAAGGAGACGCCGGUAAUAUGCGAAAACCCGCGCGGUUCCUCAGCGAACAAUAAUUUUCGCGAGACUCUUUUUCGGAUGGAAAUACGACGCGGGCUACUAGCUGCUGCUGCUGCUGCUGCGAACAGCGUUGACCGCUCGAAAGCAUGCAAGGAACAUUUAAUCUUUGAUGUCCAGCUGCUCUCGCCGCGAAGACGACGAAAAUUUAUAUCGCGAACCACAUAAAAAUUCUCGUCCUCGAAGAAAUUUUAUUAUCGGACAGCGCAACGCGGUACGUAAACAAUUAUACGCUAAAUACGCGCGCAGAAGUCUCUCGGAUAAUAUGAAGCGCGCGCGUGCGCGUGUGGAAUAGGAAGGGAGGGAAACGCGCUGUUAACCCCCGAUGAUUAAUAUCGGUGACAAAAAAUGCAUCCACUUGGACGAGGCGACAAGCGAGCACUCAAGCUGCCACUACUCGGCUUCAACGGUGUCAUAGAUCCCGACAGUGGCAUGUAUGUGGCUCGUCGAGAGAGAGAGAGAGAGAAAGAGAGAGGGAGAGAGAAAUAGAGAAACCUCCUCGAACGUCGCUGAUAUCGACAGAUAUCGACCGAAGUGCGCGAAGAAAAAAAUAUUUCCGACGUUUCGUGAACGCUUCUUCCACUUCACACACGCACCCGCAAACGUCCACUCGUCCCGAAGGGCUCGAGUUCACGUCCGAGCUUUUAUACACGUGCCACACGCGCGCGCGCGCGUCCACCGACGACCGUACGGCAACGACGGCACAUCAAAUGCAGCCGGGGAAGAAAUACGCCCCCGCGAAUGUGAUUUGUUGUCGCGUUCUCCACCGAGCGCAUCAUCUCUCGCGCGCAACGGCGUGGAAAGGAGUGGAUCGUUAAAGACGCUUCUGAAAAACGACGCGGGCGUAGAAAAAAGGGACAUUCUUGUUUCGAGGGAAUAUCUUUAUUUUCAAAAUGUCAAAUGUAUUAAAAUGAUAUUACGUGGCGCGCGUUAGACAGACGUAACUGGCUUACGUAAAGAAUUUUAUAUAGUUUGAUCACGAGGUAUAUUUUUUUUUUAUUCAAUGAUAAAUUUCAUAAGUUAAGAGGAAAAAAUAUCGAACGGAAAGUAACAAUAUCUUCGAGAUUUUAAAAUUUCUUGACGCUAUUAUUAACAAAGCUAAUAUUAUAAUAUUGAAAUAAAAAUAUAAUAUUUCACUGAAAUUUAAGACUUCUUUAUUGGUUUUAUAUUUUUGUCACAUGGAUGUAUACAAGACCACGAGUGUUAAAUAUAUUUUAAUUUAAUAACAUUUGAUUGACUGUUUUUCCUAUGUAAAUUUUCUUUUACCAAAUAUGUAGUCGUUAAAACACAGAAACCCCAUUUAAUUGUUUUAAUCCAAAAUACUGCACUAAGAACUCAAAUUGUUCUUACCGUAUUUAACCUCGUACAUUUAUAUUGUUCUCUCUGUACUUUUAAAUGGCGCGAUAUAAAAAUAUAUACACAUAUAGAAAUACAUAAAAAAAGUAAUAAAACGUAAAAAUAUAGAAAUGAUAAAAAGCAAUGAAGUACGCGCGCCCCCACCUGGUGUUGAUAUUGAAAACCAAAUAAUACAAUUUAUUUCGGCAGCUAUAGCCGCGCCGGAGAAGGGUGGCGUUAAGCGCAAUAUGCGCGCAAACCUCAUUCGACGCUCGCAAAGUUUCGUCCCAGAUUCAUGGCGUGCUGUACACGCGGCCAUGCGCGGCGCUCGUUAAAAGUACGAUUCGUUUCCAUUAAGUGCACCGGGGGAUGAUCACCCCGGGGGAAUCGCCCGCCUAGCUCCGUGUACGUAGCGAAUUAAGUCGUUAAUGUCAAACACCUUGGCCGGCGGUCGUCCGAAUUUUGGAAAUUACGAAGUUUAGUUACACACCGGGCGCCCGGGAGAAUGCGAAGAGCUGAUCCUCAGGAGCCUGCUUACGUAUUCCGCUGGUAAUUAGAUUUGACACCCGAAUUUGCGGACGCACGUUUACCGUCCUGCAGGCCACCGUGUGCAUUACUUCGGAUUGUCCUUGUGAAUGGCUGCGCGAAAUUGUUGCUUCCUGUGGACUCUACUACAGUAAGAGCUCGGGGGCGCGAGUAAAGCACGGCACCAGCGCUUUGUGUUUUCCCCUCUGUUCGACUAACCGGGGCUAUUUUAUAUUGAAAAUGCCUGAGAGAUGUUUCUUAGGUGCGGACAAUGCACUUACGUGAGCUUAUUCGCAAACGGUAUUUCGCUUUUCUUUAAAUCUCCAUUUCUGCAACCUGACGCAAGAAGUAAAAUAAAAUGUGGAUAACAGAUUACCUGAAUUGCUGUGUUUCAGCAUUCACUGGGCGUUACAAAUCUGUGAAAUUGUUGCAAUAAACAAUGCGGACGAGAGGAAUCUAAAUUCGUCUCGAAAUUUUUGUUUUAAAAAAAAGCAUCAGUUAUUUUGAAUCUAUACUAUUUAGUCAAAAAUAUAUGCUUUUCGUGAUCCUAAAGAAACAUAUAAAUAAAAAGCUAAUUUCACUGAUUAAUUAAUGCUACAUUAAUUAAUUAGCUACAGAGAUAAGAGUCUCUCAGUAGACUCUUGUGAUUGAAUUAUCUCAGUACAUUUUAUUUUCUUUUUACGGAUUUGAAUCUAUGUUUUAAAUAAAAAUUUCUCUAUAAAAAAUAUGAAAUUAAAUUUGACAGCGAUAUAGCUGCAUGUAAAUUGGUGGCAAAAAAUAUAAAGCUAAAAAUAUUCUGUGCGAGGCGGCAACUCUUGUUAUCAGCAGUUUAUUAUUAGUAGUUGUCAGUGUAUUUUUAAUUGCAUGACAUGGUUUUUAGUUACGUUUUUUUUUUUAGCGUCAGCCAUGCAGAUCGCGCAGUCGUAAAAUUGUUCGUGCGAGAAAUGUGUUGCCGCUAAAACAUUUCAACCACUUUAUCGUAAUAGGGGUCAAAGUGCAGCAAUGAUUAUCAUUAUUAUAGCUCAGUUAAUAUUUAACAAUAUAUAUUUUGAGAUUUACAAAAUUUAUUCUCAUCAAUUAUUUUUGCCGGGGUGAGAGAUAAUCUCCUAUCUAAUUUAUUUUCAUCAAUUAUUCCGAGCUUUACAAUAUUAUUUAUUAUCAAUUAUUUGAAAAUUUACAAUAUAUACAAGAUUCAAUUCAUAUUCACCAAUAUUUAGCAAUAUUUUAUCAAUUUCUCGUUCCACUUUUAUAGAGGAGGCAGAUAUUUCUGACUUUACAACGCGCACGUAAAAUUUAACGACGAUGUAACGAUAUAUCGCGAGAGAUGUACACCUACAAUGGCUACUGUGCAACGUGAAUAUAUUUUUAAACGUAUUUUUCAUGCGACCACUUUCGGUCCCGUCGAAAUUGGUAAUUCCUUUGAGCUACACUCUUGGAAGCGGAAGUGGAAGGAACUACCCGGAACAUUAUCAUUUAUAUGAAAUCCUUUGCGCGUCCUUAUGCAUAGUCAUUAUCCCGUCGCUUUUUACCGCUAUCCUUCCCAGGAGGAGCUUGCGGGAGCGACGAAAACAAGAGUAGUUCGAUACACGUACACGCGUCGAAAGGCGACAAUCUUAAUUAAAGGGCGCUGACUGGCCCCUGCAAUUUUAUUCGGCAUUAAUUUGAGCCAAGUUCAAUUACACGCGCUUUAAGGCGACCUGGCUUUCCGCAGUUUAACGCUCACGAGCAAAUUGAUUAAAAAGCUCGGCUCGAAAAUUGCGUGCCAAUUCACGCAAGGUCUAACUAAACCCUGGCAAAACAAUACGAAAUGGAUAAUUCUUAUGUCUGUUCUUUUAAUUAAAUCGCCCUUUUUGCAGGCGAUAGCUCGCGCCAAUUAUCCCCCAAAACUUUUACUGUGAUACUAUACGUGCAAAUGAAAAAAUAUCCCACGUAUAUAUCACGGAUACUUUAUUACACAAUAAUAACAGUUCGCACGGAUAAAAUCUGUUUACGGAGAAGAUCGUAUUUCGGAAUUAGAUCGGAAAAAUAUGUAAAUAAACUUGGAGUAUAUUUCUAAAUAUAUACAUUUCGCGUGCGUUUUUGUAAACAUGAAUAUUUACGAUGAAAUGUAAAGAUCCAAGGUGCGUGGAAAAGCGUUAAAAAUUUGUAAAAUUUAAUAUAACAUAAUUUAUAAUCUUUUACUUCGCACACAAAGAGGUAUUUUGAUGAUACGAAAUGUUAUCACGUUUUCUCGGAUGUUUAUCACUCCUAUCUCAAAUUAUCGCUAUGUAAACAGUUUUUUUCUGGCGGGGAACGCAACACGGAUACUCCCGUGAAGCAUAAAAUAUUCUCGAAACGCAUCAGAGGCGCAACGCUUUAUUGCAGCGUAACAGCCGGACGUACGGAUAAAACUUUUCGCGAGCUCUUCUUUAUUUAAGGCGACGGAAUAUACUUUCGCCGGAAGAAGCUUUAAUGCAACACGUCUCGCUGGUUUCGAUGACAUCGCUUUUCAUUUAACGAAAAUCACCGACGAGUGAGAAUCGUCGAUUUGACCACCGGUUGACUCGCCGUUCGUGUAAACCGACGAUGGUUCGGCGCACAAUGAAAAACUCGCCAUCGACCGUUCUCCCACGCACACCGCGCCAUCCACGCGAGACGCGAGAGGGUAAUCGAAGUGCCGUAAAAGCGAUUGGCAGCGAUGUCUGGCGCGGAAGAGGAGUGAGAGUGGCUUGAGAGCGGCGAAGAAAGCUCGGAGAGCAAGUGAAGAUAGAGGAGCGGAAGCUGGAGAACGGGGAGAAUAUUAUUCAGAUCCUUGGCGGAAGCCGCCGUUGGGAAUACCGGCAACCGUCUUCGAACCGACCAGCCUCUUUAAGGUUCCCUCGGCUCGUUUCGCGACGACUUCUCAAACCCGACCCGUUCUCUCGUACGCGACGAAAGCAAAGAAAAAAAAAGGGGGGGGGAAGCAACCUGCGGAGGAUCGGAGACGGGUAGGGUGGACCAGGAUAAGGUGCUGCAGAGACUUGCAGUGAUACAGAUAUAUAUGAACAGGAUCCGUCGCGAUUGAGGCGAGUCUUGCACGACGAGGGAGCGUUCGCUAAGGAGACAGUGGCUCCCAGUGGUACACAGGAAGGAUCCUUGAAUCCAUUACAGCGGAAGCGGAAGACGGUGUAUCCCGCGACGGUAGAUCCGCACCGCCGUGUAUCGCGUCAAAUGGAAUCGGACGGCUUGAGCUGGUUACCCCGUGUCGAGCGUCGCGGAGAGGAUUAUACGUCGACGGAGUCAAUAAUACGACACGGCGCUCUGCCUAUGUCCGAUGACAAAUUUAGAGCGUUUAUCAUGGCGUGUCGGCGCACGGCCGACAUCUAUCUCGAAUUCGUCGUAGAAUAUGAAAUCGAUCGGGCGAGAGUCGCACGUGUGAUUGGAAUGGCUUUCAAUCGUGUAUAAUUAAAAAUUGCGCGUUAUUUUAAGCUAUUAUCUUUAAUGCGAACAAAAAUGCACGGCAAUCUUGUAACUUACAAUUUCACUGCAAAGAAGAGAUAAUGCAUUAAAACCAUCAUGAUAUUUUGAAUGUAUUGUUUUUUCAUUUAUUUCCGUUGAAAUUUUUGUUAUCGUCAUAUAUAAUUUUUAUUAUUAUUAUAUAAUAAAUUAUUUGAAAUAAUAACUUACAAUUAUUUUACGACACUGUUUAUUGCACUUUGUUAGAAAUAUACAGCUUAAAGAUGUGUUUGUUAAAAAAAUCAAAAUGGGAUUCUUGCAAAACACGUAAAAAUAAAAUAAACAAGACAAAUGGAUUAACAAUGUAACGAAUUGUAAGAAAAAAAAAAAAAAACACUAAAACAAAUAUUAAUAGGAAAGUAGCAUUUAUAAAUAAAGCCCAUUUUGUUUGUGCGCAAUCACAUUUACGUGUUAUCAACAUUUAAGUACAUUUAUGAUAAUUUUUCCAUUUGAAUUAUGCACCCCGGUAGCGACAAUGUAAAUGAUAAGAAAUAUGAGAUGCACCAUAUUUAGCAUUAAUCUAUAUCUUGUAAUAAAAUAAUUAUACAUUAUUACAUUUGUUGCAAAACUUAUCGAAAAUAAAUGGACAUGCGCGCUUAUCAGACAUUCUAUUAAUAAAUAGUUUACAUGAAAAUCCAAGAUGCAGAGAUAAGCGAGAAGUGAAAGAAGCAACAACCGCUGCUAGAGACACAGAACUGAUAUGGACGUUACACGUAAAAUGCAGUUUGUGGUGCAAACUGGCGAUUUAUUAGCAGAGCAUUAAAUCGAGAGCGUACACCUAGUGCAUUUUCACCGUUCUCGUGCCCUUCUCUCUCUCUCUCUCUCUCUCUCUCUCUCUCUCUCUCUCUCUCUCUCUCUUUCUCUCUUCUCGUCUCGCCUAUGCACCCAUUUGUUUUUUAUUUUUACGUUUCAGUAUCACCCUCGCGAUCCGAUGCUCCUCCAACUAUUUUUAUUUGUUUCCCCGUUCAAAAAUUAUAUACGCGCCUGCAAAUGAAAUAUCAUAGCCGGUGCGCGCGGUGCGCACUCACAGAAAGUGCCUGUGACGGUUUGGCACGAGCAGUUUGCCGGCGUAAUUAGACUUUAUUGCACUCACGGUAAACUGAAUUAAUUGGAAACGCCUGCGCGCUUUACAGCGCGAUAUUCGUGAGAUAUCGUCGCGAUGAUUGGCUGAAUUAAAAGAUUGAAAAUCUCGCCAUGGCGAGAAAUACCUCACGCGAAGCAGAAAGAGAGAAAUAAAGAAGAGAGCGGCGUCGAGUCUUUUUAAAGGGUAUAUUUUAUAAUAGGAGAACCAAUAAAUGCUGGAUCCGACGGGAAUAUCGAUCAAGUAUUUAUUUGUAAUUAGGCGUGUAUUUUAUUUUGUGUGCGUGUGCGUGUGUGUGUGUGUGUGUGUGUGUGUGUGUGUACAUAUAUUUUUAAUUUUACAAAAUCAAUAUCAAUCAUAAAAAGUAUAUGUUUCUAUAGUAUAUGUUUAAGUUUUGCAGGGAUAUAAAUUAAUAAUACAUACACCAAUAUAUACUUCUCUCCUUUUAUUCGUACACUUGAGUUUAGAUAAUUUAUCACAAUAAGAGAAAUAUAUCAACCGUACGAUGUGACCUGGGUAAAAUGUAUCUUCCUGAACCGAAAGGGUGGUAAGAGGGAGAGCGAGAUUUUAGUAAGUAGUUGUAUAACUGGAUUUUAUUCUUAAUUGACAAUAUUCUUUCCAAGUGAUAAAUAAAAGUUUCUUCGCCGUUUUGGGUUUUUUACAAGUUAAAACACAAUCUAUACUUACAUAUUAAAUGUAGCAACAUUUAGAUUAACACUACGUAGCGAGUUAUGAUGCACAUUAAAAGCGAUUUGCAGCUCUCACAUUUCAUGUGCCUUGCUCGGUUAAUCCCGUCGAUAUAAAGGAGAGACUCUGCCGUGGUUGUAAUCGCAAUCGUAUUCGCCUUACAUCUUUCCUUCGCUCGCCGAAUAUCGAUCAGCAAACUUCAGCACUUUUUCCAAGGUCUUUGUGAUUGAAUCGCGUCGAAGUAAUUUUAACAUUUUCUUCUUAACUUUGUAGCGACAUAACUACAUAAAAAAAAAAA